CCUACGGGAGGCAGCAGUCGAGAAUCAUUCACAAUGGGGGAAACCCUGAUGGUGCGACGCCGCGUGGGGGAAUGAAGGUCUUCGGAUUGUAAACCCCUGUCAUGUGGGAGCAAAUUAAAAAGAUAGUACCACAAGAGGAAGAGACGGCUAACUCUGUGCCAGCAGCCGCGGUAAUACAGAGGUCUCAAGCCUUGUUCGGAAUCACUGGGCGUAAAGCGUGCGUAGGCUGUUUCGUAAGUCGUGUGUGAAAGGCGCGGGCUCAACCCGCGGACGGCACAUGAUACUGCGAGACUAGAGUAAGGGAGGGGGAACCGGAAUUCUCGGUGUAGCAGUGAAAUGCGUAGAUAUCGAGAGGAACACUCGUGGCGAAGGCGGGUUCCUGGACAUUAACUGACGCUGAGGCACGAAGGCCAGGGGAGCGAAAGGGAUUAGAUACCCGGGUAGUC
RNAcentral lists this ribosomal RNA (446 nucleotides) under uncultured bacterium. RNAcentral describes it as "partial 16S ribosomal RNA". It matches the Rfam family "Bacterial small subunit ribosomal RNA", at positions 338 to 795 of the family's 1533-position model. The record is from RNAcentral.